UUAAUAUGAAAUUUUAAUGAAAACCCUAGCUUUGAAAUUAGUGGUAACCUGUUUUUUUUUUUUUUUUCUUAUAUGAAUUUAUUCUAUGUUGAUGGUGAUUUGAGCUGGAAAUAACAUGAUUUCGGUUAACCUCUUAGAACCUGGAUUUUAGGAAUCACUCGAUGUAUAUCAGGUGUUUAUCUUAUAAGGGUUCUCAUAAGAUUAGUAAUAUUGUUGCAAUUUAGGGUAUUAGGUUUACGAUUUCUGGACAGAUUUCAGUGAAUGAAACGAGAGCACUCAGAGCAGGUAUUUUCCUGCUUCUACUUUUCUCGGUUUUUAUUUUGAACUGCCAAACUAAACUGUUUGAAACAUACAGGGUGUAUGUUAUAUUGAACUGACACGAUAGUCCAAAACCGAACUUACUAGAGGAGGUAGAGAUGCAUCAGUUAUAGAUUUGAGAAAGGCCCCAAACUUGUGAAUGUGAAUACCCAGAAGGGAAAGAUGUGAAGAAUUAAGGAACUCCUUGCAUGAGGUACAAUUAGCCUCUGUACUACAGCUGCAUCAAGGGUAUUCGUCGAUCUGGAAUUCUUGAUGUUCAGCCAGCGCAUUAUUUUAGUACAAUGUAAAUCAAAAGUGUUUUUCCAGGCUAAAUAUUCUCGAAUGCAACAACAAAGCGAUCUGAUGCAGACUCAAUGUUGAUCUCGGAUUUAAGAACAAAUGAAGAUAGAGGGAGCGGAAGCGGGAGAUAAUAGAGAAACUCUAGCACGAUAAUUAAUUAGAGUUUUUAAUUGUGCUCUUCAAAUGUUUGUCAAAAUAGCUUGAAAGGAGUUUCCUGAUGAUCUAAGCCAGAAGAGUAAUAAGGACUGUGAUUGCUGAUGCCGAGUUGUAUUCUGGGCAUCCAAUUAUAAGGUAAGUAUUUGUCAAUUCUUUUUGUAGUCUGAGUCAUAUUUAUCACGGGUUGGGUUGUCUAAUACUUUAUACCGUACAUGUGUCUGAUUAUCUCUGUAUGUCACAUAUAGAUACAAAUAUACUUAUCACUAGAGGGAAUUUGAGGGUCCAGCUCACUAGCUGGGAGUACAACCCCACACUUCAAUUAUUCAUCAUUAAGUAUCUACUUUAGCCCUCCCAAGUUAGAAUUUUGGAACUCCCAGGUGGACCGAGUUGCAAAUAGUCACUUUACAUUGACACAUACCGCAAAUGCUAUAUAUUGUAUUCAUUCAGUUAGUAGGUGUACUAUUUAGCAAGCUCAUUUAAAUAAUGAUGUUUGAUCCAUCGUUGAGGGGUAUUAAAAUGAAGGCAGUGUCAUGUACAUACGUUACCCCGGAAAUCAUAAUUCAACCGACUGCUCCAGCUGUUUUCAGCUAAAUUUUAUGUCAGAAGCUUGAUUGGCAGUGCAUUUGAAAUUUGAAGUGCAUCUGCAAUUUUUGUAACAUCUUAGCUGGGAGAUUUUUGCGGGUGGUACAAUAUAAAGUGAUAAUUAAAUGCUUAAGGUCAACUUUUUUUGCCAUUUAUUUGUUCAAAAUUUUGAUUUGUCAUGUUAAUGUAGAGAUUGGAGCUAAAGCUUUUAAAUUGAACGUUGUCGCAAUGGUAGCUCCAAAUGUUGAAUCUGUCGAAACACUAAUAGCAUGGCAGCCAUAAAAACUUCUUUACAGAUAGCUCUUAUCUGCGGGCAACCUAUCUUCUUCUCUUCAUUGACUAAACUUAACUUUCACAAAAGUUUGUAGUGAGCUAUACUUCAAAGAAUUGGGUGAAGUUAUUAAUGUUUCAAAGGGCAUGUUACUGUUGAGUUUGCAACAGACGAAGUAGUGUAGAAGGCAAGGUUUCUUAUCUGGAACACCUUAGUUGAGGUUUUUGACAGUACCUCCAGUGAUUUGGUUAGGCUGAAGCAAAGAGGUAAAGGAACGCAUAACCUAACAGGUGUAUCUAGCAUCUGACGGGCAGUAGAACUCUAAGAGAGAAAUCUGCUUAAAGUUUCAAAGGAAAGUGAAAAUGACUUGAAACAAUGCCUUGCUCAGUCAGAAUUUAAUAAAGACAUAACAUCACAGGUUUGUUAUUUAUAUCCUUGCGACGACGAACAGAGAUAUCCAAAUUAAGUUAUUUCCGAGAAACACGAAAGAGGAUCGGCAGUCCCCUUAACUUUUGUUUAAUAUGCAGUAUGUGGUUUAAGCUUAGAUUAUAAAGAGCUCAACGACCACAAAUGAGAGUCUCCAUUUGCAUCUCCAUUUGCAAUUGGAGCACUAAUGAUUGCCAGUGUGUACACCAUGGGCAAUUUCUUACGGAAGGAGUAUGACUGACACGGAUCAAGAAGCUCAGUUACAAACUAUCCUUGGUGAUAAUAGUCAAGUGUACAACAAGAGGAGAUGCAAGGGUCACUUGAAGCACGUCCAGAUUAGGUGGUUGAUUUGCUGGAUGAUAAUUAUCUCUCAACUUUCUGUUGUUUCUUCUUCUCCAUUUUCGAUUUUUAACCUUGCCGUGUCAAUAGAUAAUGAAUUUGUUUUAAGAAUUCCUCUUUAACCCUAACUAUUUACUGUUACGACUUUAUACAGUUCAAUGGAAAAGACUAAGGUCACUUCUUUUUGCA
Long non-coding RNA from Papaver somniferum (opium poppy), 2560 nucleotides. RefSeq lists it as uncharacterized. The transcript is spliced from 7 exons. NCBI's taxonomy places the organism in Eukaryota, Viridiplantae, Streptophyta, Magnoliopsida, Ranunculales, Papaveraceae. The record is from RefSeq and is a predicted model, not a curated record.